Cimex lectularius (bed bug) is the source of this 735-nucleotide long non-coding RNA. RefSeq lists it as uncharacterized. The transcript has 3 exons. The record is from RefSeq and is a predicted model, not a curated record. Lineage: Eukaryota; Metazoa; Arthropoda; Insecta; Hemiptera; Cimicidae.
UAGUGCCAUAUAACAACCAGCUGCUUAUAAUUACACAUCUUCAGUGUAUCGCGCAGCUGUUAAACAAACCGAUCGAUGGAGAUCAAGUUUGUCCGACCAUCCUUACAAAUGCCUGUCCGAACAAUAAUGUUACCACCAUAGCUUUUCCGGGGUGAAAAUAUUGUGGAGAUAUAUCGCUCUCUUGUUAUUCCUCUCUCGGCCUUCAGAAGUCCUCAAACAAAACCUCCGCAAACAAGAUUUAGACAAAUUCAUGUGAUUUCUUGCGAAACUUCACCGAACAUCCCUGCCUUCUCGCAUUUGUAGAAUGGUGAUUACGGAGUACAUCCUAAACAGUAAAACGAUCAUCUGAGAAGAGACGACGGCCACCUGAUCCAUUCUUGAGUAUUCUCCAGUAUCUUGAUAGCGAUGGAAGACUAUUCCGUUGUCCUGGGGACGUUAACUAUCGUACAUACGCUUGAUGUCUCUAAAUGAGCUCUAAAAGAUAAAUUUUCUGUGGAUCGUCGUGUCGAUAGUCAUGCUGAGUUGGAAGUCUCAGUAGUUGUACGGAUACCUGGACAAGUUGGGCUGCAAAAGCAGUAUCGAUAGAUGGCACCCAGAAUGUCUAAACCGCAGAAGAAAAUGUCCGGAAUUCAGAGAAAGUUCCAUAUAGAGAGCGAGUCGUAUGAGACACCCGAUAUAAUAAUUGUGCAGGAGUCAUCGAAACUUUGUGUCCCCAGUUCCGAUUGUUUUGAGAAA